Molecule: ribosomal RNA, 728 nt
Filed under: bacterium enrichment culture clone PA_20
Lineage: Bacteria
Description: bacterial SSU rRNA
Rfam family: Bacterial small subunit ribosomal RNA
Source: RNAcentral
UAGAGUUUGAUCCUGGCUCAGAAUCAACGCUGGCGGCGUGCCUAACACAUGCAAGUCGCACGAGAAAGGGGCUUCGGCUCUGAGUAAAGUGGCGCACGGGUGAGUAACACGUGAAUUAUCUACCUCCGAGUGGGGAAUAACUGAGAGAAAUCUUAGCUAAUACCGCAUAACACUUACGAGUCAAAGCAGCAAUGCGCUUGGAGAGGAGUUCGCGGCCGAUUAGUUAGUUGGCGGGGUAAUGGCCCACCAAGACGAUGAUCGGUAUCCGGCCUGAGAGGGCGCACGGACACACUGGAACUGAAACACGGUCCAGACUCCUACGGGAGGCAGCAGUGGGGAAUUUUGCGCAAUGGGGGAAACCCUGACGCAGCAACGCCGCGUGGAGGAUGAAAUCCCUUGGGAUGUAAACUCCUUUCGAUAGGGAAGAUUAUGACGGUACCUAUAGAAGAAGCCCCGGCUAACUUCGUGCCAGCAGCCGCGGUAAUACGAGGGGGGCAAGCGUUGUUCGGAAUUAUUGGGCGUAAAGGGCGCGUAGGCGGUUUGACAAGUCUGAUGUGAAAUCUCUGGGCUCAACCCAGAGUCUGCAUUAGAAACUGUCGGGCUUGAGUAUGGGAGAGGUGAGUGGAAUUUCCGGUGUAGCGGUGAAAUGCGUAGAUAUCGGAAGGAACACCUGUGGCGAAAGCGGCUCACUGGACCAUAACUGACGCUGAGGCGCGAAAGCUAGGGGA